GUCUACGGCCAUACCACGUUGAAAACACCGGUUCUCGUCUGAUCACCGAAGUUAAGCAACGUCGGGCCCGGUUAGUACUUGGAUGGGUGACCGCCUGGGAAUACAGGGUGCUGUAGACU
RNAcentral lists this ribosomal RNA (119 nucleotides) under Capitella teleta. The record is from RNAcentral. Lineage: Eukaryota; Metazoa; Annelida; Polychaeta; Capitellidae.